Long non-coding RNA from Neomonachus schauinslandi (Hawaiian monk seal), 143 nucleotides. RefSeq lists it as uncharacterized. The record is from RefSeq and is a predicted model, not a curated record. The transcript has 3 exons. NCBI's taxonomy places the organism in Eukaryota, Metazoa, Chordata, Mammalia, Carnivora, Phocidae.
CAGAAGACAUGAGAGUGAAGUAGACACCGUUACUGUUUCUCCUAAUGGGGCAUCUGAGGCCUAGAGAAGUUAAGUGAGUUGAACAAGGUCACACAGUUUUCUUUUGUAAGCUAGAGAUAGUGAUGUUGAAGAGAGUUACAGAA